This 425-nucleotide ribosomal RNA is filed under the name uncultured bacterium. RNAcentral describes it as "bacterial SSU rRNA". It matches the Rfam family "Bacterial small subunit ribosomal RNA", at positions 378 to 793 of the family's 1533-position model. The record is from RNAcentral.
CAAGCCUGAUGCAGCCAUGCCGCGUGUAUGAAGAAGGCCUUCGGGUUGUAAAGUACUUUCAGCAGUGAGGAAGGUGGGUAUGUUAAUAGCAUACUCAUUUGACGUUUAGCUGCAGAAGAAGCACCGGCUAACUCCGUGCCAGCAGCCGCGGUAAUACGGAGGGUGCGAGCGUUUAAUCGGAAUUACUGGGCGUAAAGCGCAUGCAGGUGGUUUGUUAAGUCAGAUGUGAAAGCCCGGGGCUCAACCUCGGAAUUGCAUUUGAAACUGGCAAACUAGAGUACUGUAGAGGGGGUAGAAUUUCAGGUGUAGCGGUGAAAUGCGUAGAGAUCUGAAGGAAUACCCGGUGGCGAAGGCGGCCCCCUGGACAGAUACUGACACUCAGAUGCGAAAGCGUGGGGAGCAAACAGGAUUAGAUACCCUCGUAG